UAAUUUCUGGAUUCUGCCAAUGGAGGCAGGAGCCUUCAGCUAAAUUCUAACUUCCAGGCUUACUUUGUAAGCAUUAAAUCAAGCCACACAUGUCAGCCUCAACACUGCUGUGUGCCUACUGCAAAUAAUGACAGAUCUUUAAUACCCCUUUGCAAGCAACAUGAGCCUUGUCCUGCAGGGCAGCCCGCUGCUGGUUAGACCACAGGUGCCUGGAUAGGUUAAUAAAGUCUCCACCAAAAGACAAGAGGACUCUUGAGCCGCUGCAAUCCCCGUGGGUUUAUUGAAGAAUGAAGGCAAGGAGACGGCAGCGGGGAGCAGCUGCACGCAGGGGGAGCUGCAGGAGUGACUGGGAAGGAGGGGCCGGAGUGUAGAACUGGGAAAGGAAGGGGUGGCUGGGGUACAAACAGUCCAGUGGGAAGGGGGUGUAAGGGGGGAGCAGGGAUGGAGUGUCAAACUGGACCAAUGGGAACAAGGGGAAGGAGUGGUUAACUCAAGAGAACUAAUGGGGAAACAGAGAACGUAGAACUUUCUAGAACUACAGGAUGGUACAACCAGUGAUGAGCAUAAACUGGGGAGGAUGCGACAUAUGAUGGGCAAAUCUUCAUUUACAUGGGGAAGGUGGGAAUCCAGGGGCAAUACUUUUCCUUAUACCACUUGGUUUCCCGUGGCAUUCCUGGAGAAUCCUCCUCAGGACCGCCUCCCACAUCCCUUGGGCUGCCAAACAUGAAUUUAUUAUGUUCUGUUGCGAUAAUGUUCACUAAUCCUUUCAUAACAUAGCAAAGCUGACAAAAAAGCCCAUUCAAGAGGACUAUACAUGUGUUUUUAUAGGAAAUGUUUACUAGUGAAGCUCUACCUGUGGAGACCAAAGAUAUUUUGGAGGAAAGCAUACACAAGAAUUUUGGGUUUUGGGAUCUUCUUUGGGACCUUCUCAAAUCACCACAUCUGAAUUUUGUCUGUCUGAUAAGACAAACUGAAGGGAUUCUCCACAAAGCAGGAAUGCCCUAUCUCUGCUUCCUCUUCUUCCAUGGAAAUAACAGUCCUCUAUUUUCUCUGUUUAUAGCUCUCUCCAUUGAUAUUUUAAGUGGAUCAGAACAUUUCAGUCUUAGAGAGAUAUUGCCCAUCAGCAAAAAGCUCAUCAGCUCAGGUUUUGUAAAAAUAAACUGCAGAUGCCAAGCUGCCCAGAACUUCCAUGAGUCUGGGCUUUGCUGCAGUGUGGGGAAAAAUCAACCAACAUAGACAAUAACAGGCUGCAAACACGGCUCUCUCCCAUUAAGUAUAGGAUAUACUUCUUCAAACUGUAUCAUUUCCCACAACUUUAUUUGGAGGGGUUUGGUGUCCUCUUCCAAACUACCAGUUGCAAACCCAAAAGGGUGUAUAAACAAACUGGAACAUCUCAUUUGAAAAACAUCCAGCUAGUGACUUGGGCUCUCAGGCACUGUAAGUCACCAUGUCAUGCAAACCUGAGCUGGCCUCGUGUCCUGUGGCCACUUAACAGCUAAUGCUGACUUUUUAUUUUGUUGUUUCUCAGUGGCAAUGGAACUUCUAAUGAAAAUCAUGAAGUUGGUAUAAGGUUAUUGUUCAGGUAAAAUCAAGUGUCAGGAUUAGCCUGCUAAUCUCCAGCUCCAGCAGAGCUGUGUGACAUUUGGCACAUGGACUGGGGAGCAGAGCAGUGCAGCUCCCACAGGCUGGUACAAGCACUGAGUUCUCUUAGACAUGCUGUACAUCUGUCCCACUCAUCAGCUAUUCCAUUUGCUCUUUAGCACAGUGACUCUACCCUAGAACUUGCACAUCGUUGGGAAUCCUGCCCAGCUUCACCACUCUUCUACUGAAGAGUAUGGCAGAGUAAGGUGAUAGUAAGGUAGUGGCAUGAGUAGUAAGGCAGAGCUAAAGCACCUGUGCCUUCAUGCCUCAGUGCAGGCUGGGUGAGAGCACCAGGGAAAAACCAUCUGGGGAUGCAGAAGUUCACAGAACUGCUAUCCCUGCCCUCCGUCAGUGGGCAGCCAUUCCCCCAUGUCUGUCACUCCAGGCCCUCGCCCAAGGUCUCCUUCCAGCUCUCUCAGAGCUCUUUGGGUACUGGAAAGCCUCAGUAGGGUCACCCCAGAGAGAUUCUGGGUAUUGGUACACGUAUUUUAACCUCUUCUAGAAUCUCUUGUGAAUUUAAAUCUUUGACCUGCUGUAUUGACUCUACUGUAGGGUCGCAGAUGGUGUUUUUGCAGGUUCUUCACUUGUGCUGAGCAAGGGAAAAGAAGUGGAACAGAAGAGUGGAUCCUAUUUAGAUUCAUUCUUUAUUCUACACCUGUGACAUAGCAGCCUGCUGUGAUCAGAGACUGGAUUUACUACAACCAGUGACCACUUUCAGCAUUUAACCACCUCUCUCUAGAUCACUAUAUCCAGUAUCCCCUUUGGUUAAAUGGUUCAUUUUAUUUAGGGCAGGAACAGCUCACACUUCAUGUCUGUAUAAGGGCAAGUGCUGUGGGUCCUGGUGUUAAUGUGUCACUGUCCUGCUGACAGCCCUGAUCUGCUGAGAGAUUGUGACUUAGAGGGAGAUUUAAACUCUUCUUUUAGUUCAGAGAUUCCUCUAAUCAGGCCAGUAUUAGAAAAUGCUAUUCAAACUCAUCCACAUAGAUAUAUAUACAUACAAGAUAUAUUGUAUACUUACAGACUGUUUAUCUAGAUCUUGUUUUAUGUAAGGAAAAAAAGGUGGAAAAAACACCCAAACUAUUCUUUAUGUGCUGUGUCUUCUUAUCAGGAAACAGCCAGACUGAAGUAGUUCCCCAGCUUCCUAGAUUGCACAAUCCCACUUUGCCCAACAAGAGAGUGCUGCAAGAACUGGGUUGUUCUUGGUGCUGGCUUUUGUAAAUGCUCUUCCCUGAACUUCUCAUUAACCUUCUGAACCUCAUGCCUACUGGAUGGAUCCCAGCCAGCAUCCUCCACUACCAAAGGACUCUUUGAAAGGAGGGUUUACACCUCAGGUUCCAAAUUGAUUUACUGUGGCACACUAACUACAUAGAAGAGGAAGGCAAACAGUGGAUUUGCCUUUUUAAAAACAGCAGUUGAUUAAAAAAUAAAGUACCAAUAAUGUGAGAAUCAUACUGUCCUGAAACCUUCAGACAUUUUGGCACAUAGCUCUGUCUCUCUCGGACAAUUGCAUCCCCUUUUUCACUGCUUCCCUCCUCCUGUUCCAGAGCUCCCCCCUGGAGCCAUCGGGGGGUGGGAGCAGAGUGAGUUGUGAAGUGUCCUGGGAUAAUCCACUUUGACAGGGAACUGUGCUGAUUAAAAGUUAUGGCUUUGGAACAGCAAAGCUCCCACUGCUGUCCAUGUAAAAGUUGCUGCUUUCUAUUUAAACCUUAACCAUCAGAUCUAAUCAAAAGAAAAGAAGGACCUUUUUAUGAAUUCCAUGAGAAAAAUUCCCCUCAGGUGUAGGUUGCAUGGUUUGAUCAGCUCCAGUAUCAUGUUUUAGCAUUUCAUAUUAAUCUAGUUGACUCUGAGCCAAGAAUUUAACUUUCAAACUUGCCUGACGGCCAGGCAAAAACAUUUUAGCAAUUUGUUAUUAUUUCAGCUAAAUUUGAAAUAUGCAAAUUAAGAUUUAUGGUAAAUGAGGGCUUAAAACUAUGCAUUUAUCUCCACGUGGAAAAGGUAUCAUGUAGCUGCAAGAUGCCAAAAAUCACCAGAGCUGGGCAGAGAACAAGCAAAUUACAACUCCCAGAAGGCACUGGAGAGUUGUACAUCAGCAUUUGGUGUCCUGAUCACAGGAAACAAACUAUUUCACAGUCUGAGUUUUCUGGAAGAUACGGAGUUGACCCAGCCCUCAGACUAAGUAUCUCAUGUCACUGUUUCCAACUGAAAACUGGUAAAGUCUCAGGUAAAUCUGGCUUUUUCAACAAGGCUGAACGAAAAGAACAAUUAUUGUUUCAUGGAAUGUAAGUAUCCUGUUGAAAACAUAGUGAUGGGGAAAAACUGAUUAAGUACAAAUAACAUUUAUAUUCCUUUCUUUUCUCCCAUCCUCUCCCUCAUUUCUCCAUGCAUAAGCAAUUAAGAUCAUUCCCAUAUGCCAAUUCAGCUUUGCUGCAAUCCCAGUAAGGCAAAGAGAUAAAGACACCGCCAAUUUCCUGCCUCCUCUUCCUGGGGCAGUCCAGAGGAACACAAACCACGCAAGUCAGAUCCAGAGGUGCUCUGGAGAGAUGCAUUCAUUGCUGUGUGGUCUAAUUCCCUGCUCUAUAUUCUGUGAAACUGAAGACAAUAGGAUGACACAUGGACUGGAGAUAAAUCUGUGCAUACUUUCCUUCACAAGUCAGGGUUUCCAAUGAAAAGCAUUGGAAAACUGACAUACAUUCCCAAAGUUCAGCUCAGCCUGAGCCUUGGGGUCCAAGUUUCAUCUUAAUCAGAAAUAAUUUCCCUUAGGUUAAAGGAUUCAUAACCACAUAGCAUCAGUGCACAUAGGCCAGACUCAAACCACAUCUGGCAACAAGGGCUUGAACACGAAGAAUUUUCAGUGAACAGCACAGAUCUUUUCUCAGUCUGUCCCCUCACAUGCAAACCAGAAUUUCCAGAUUCUGGAAGCUGAUUUUCCUCACUGCCCUAGUUUACUGGAAGAAAAAAGCAGCCUUCAUGAUGCACCUUAUUCCCUAUUUUUACCUAACUCCUAGAAAUACCUCAUAGAACUUUAAAUUGUGAGGAACUCAAUCAAGCAAGGCUUGAACUCGGUUGAUAUAAAUACAUAAUAAUAAUAUAUAUAAUAAAAAUAUAAUAUAAUAAUGAUAAUAAUGAUAAUAAUGAUAAUAAUGAUAAUAAUGAUAUAAUUCUGCCUUGGAGAACAAAACUGGUUUAACCAAAGGGAUCUGGUGGCCAGAACCUGCCAUGGCUGGGGACAGGGAGCUCUCCAGUGCCCGAGUGGGAAAGGCAGCAAGAGCAGAGCAGGGCACAGCCCAUCCGUGUUCUUAGACAGCCACCUAGUGAGUGUAGCGAGGGAACAACAGCUCCAAGGAAAUCCCGUGAAUUCUCACAGAGGCUGGAGUUACUCUACAAAUACAGCACUAAAACAGUGCUAAAACACUGCUGAAACUUUGCCAUGAGUGCAGAGGGGCUUUGCCUCACUCAGGGCAGUAGCAGAGCAGAAGUUACUGAGAUGUGAAAUUAUCAUCCCUCUAUGAUACAUACAUACAUACAUACCUACAUACAUACAUACAUACAUAUAUAUAUAUAUAUAUAUAUAUAUAUAUAUACACAUCUCACCUUAUUCUUACAUAUCCAUUGCUAAAUCAAAACAUUUCUGUUGACUGAAAACAGGACAUGAUGGACAUCAUGCUAUAUAAAAAAAGGGACAAAGUCUGGAGGGAUAGAGAUUCAUAGAAUCAUUAAUGUUGGAAAAGACCUCUAGGAACACCACAUCCUUCUGUCAGCUUAGCACCACCACCACGUUCACCAUUAAACCAUGUUGUCAAGCACUGUAUCCACAAGUUUUGGAAUCCUUCCAGGGAUGGUGACUCCAGCAGUGUCCCUGGGGAUGGGCACAAAGAGCCUGCUUCAUUGCUGGAGUGUGUUGGGCCAUUUCUGCUAAGCCAAAUUUGUCUGUGGAUGUGAAAUUAGCAGGAAGUCUUUCAAGAAAGGAGAACCUGUGAGCCCAGUUCACCUCAAAACCAGCACUUGCAUU
RNAcentral lists this long non-coding RNA (5650 nucleotides) under Taeniopygia guttata (zebra finch). RNAcentral describes it as "lncRNA (ENSTGUG00000018961.1)". Lineage: Eukaryota; Metazoa; Chordata; Aves; Passeriformes; Estrildidae. The record is from RNAcentral.